GUGCUGGCUCCCAGAAGAGGAACCUGCUGCAGGCGCCGGCGCGGGCGGCGAGGACGACCUGUUUUUCUGACCCAGCCCGGAAGCGCUGGUGCAGGCCUUGAGCUUCCUUUUUUCUUCUCGCUGUGGAAAUUGCCUGGAAAGCUAUGAACUGUUGGUUCUUGAAUCAGUUGGCUGCCCCGGAUGUCUGAAUCCCUUGGAAGGAACCUGGAGGAGUUGGCUGAUGGGCUCCAGGUGCUACCGGAUCACCCUAACAACCCUCUGGGACCUGUGGCCAUGUGUUCACAACAGCAGCCAUUACAGGUGUUUCCUGAACUCUUGUCGCGAGCCUCUGUCGGCUCCAUCUCAUCGAUCCUCCCAGCAACCCACAAGGAAGCUUCACAGAGAGGCAGAUGCCACACAGGCCACCCACCCAGAUGCAGAGCCAGAUUCCCUGCGUGGACUGGACGGGAGUUUCCCAGCUGGAGUUCUCUCGGCCAAGCUGCCUGUGACAUGGGGUUGGAGGUGCUCCAGAGAGUCAUGGCCACCCCUGGAGGAAGUGACUUGUGGCUGACUGCUCAAGGGGAAGUCCUGUGGCAGUGGAGUCGUCAGCAUUAAUUCAAAUAAGCCCCAGCCGGAGUUCUGCCUCAUGCCACACGUGGGUCCAUUCCCGCGGAGUCUGGACUCUGGGUUAAGAGAGGACCAUCUGCUACCGGCCCCAGCCCAGAUGAUACAGUUAGAGCCUACCCACAGCAUCCUCCCCGCCUUCAGACAGUUCCAGGAACAGGGGGAUUCUGAAGGGCCCGCCCUUGGCAUUGGCUGAAACGCGGUGGGAGUAUUGAAAACGCUGGACCUGUAACUCCACAGAGAAGCGCCUCCCCACCUCAACACCAGCACUGUUCUCAAUGUGUGGUGGCCUCUCCCUGCCUGAGAGCUGGUCAUUUUGGCUUCAGGGAGCCGGGUGAGGCAAUGCACGGCCAGCAGGUCAUUUGACCUCAACAGCGCAGGCUCUGCCGGCUGCGAUUCCAUCACCCCUGGACUAGCAGAACCACUGCCUUUGCAGGAGUCUCAAAGGCCUGGGCUUUUGGGGGUGCUUCUCCGCCACUCCUGACUGCUUCUUUCCCUUCGGGGGCCGUGGCUGGUGCCUGCUGCGGGGUCAUUGCGUGACGCGAGCACCGCAGCAUCUCAGGUGCACGCGCCCUUCGAUGGCCCUGAGGUGCCCGGGAGCAGGCGAGGGCCGAGUCUUAACAGCUCCACUUCCUGUCCCCGAGUCUAUCUGCCACUGCUCUGUAGAGUCCUACAGUUUAUCUGUGGUCAGUUUUCUUACCCAUUUCCUGCCAGCUGCUACUGGUUUUUUAGUCAGCUCUGACAGCUACGGUAAUUGGGAAAGGACGCAGGCUGCUGGGGCCGGGUGAUUCACCAGCUCUGGCCAACAGGGACAAGGAGCACAGACGGAGGCACCCCGUCGGUCCCCCAGGGCCUGGUCCCCCAGGCUUCAAUGAGUGAGACACAGAAAAGACCCAGGGGCACACUCAUUGUGAACCGAAAGCUGAUCUCUGUGCACGCGCGCGUGCAUGUGACAUAAGGGAAUUUUUUUUUUUUGAAUGUGCCAGAGCCAAUAUAAAUGGUUUCAUGUUUUGAGAAGUCAGAACAUAACUCCAGGCUGAGUGAGGCCCCUCUCCCGGGGAGCCCCAUGUUUUCUCUGAGGUGUAACUGCGGUGAGUUGUCUGUGCCUCAGAUUAGGAUACUGGAGUCACACUUAACAUUUUAUUUCAUGGCAUUUCCAAAAACGAAGGGAAAACCCCCAUUGCAGCAAAUGACUCCUCCAAAUAGAAAACUUUGUGUCUGUUUUGUAAAUGCUGUGGAAGGGAGUUUUGGAGCUGCCUCACUGUCAGUCAUCGCCCAGCCAGGUGCCUUUGGUUGCUGAGUGUUGCACUCAGGGGUGGGCUGCUGGCUGCCGAGCAGUGCCCCUCAGAGGCGGGGGCAGGACCAGCCACACAGCCUCACCUGUCUGGGCCUCUGGAGCCAGCGCCUCCGAGUUUUACCUGACUCUCCGGGUGGCCCUGUUGCCUACUCUAGUGUGAGAAGCACCUCUCUAGACUUUACUGGAAGCUAAUAUUAAUUUUAUUGAUAGCCGUGGGUUAUGGAGCAUGAAAAUGAUCCUCCAAUGCAGAAUGAAAUGACCCACUUCACACAGAUUUACUGCCUUCCUCCCAGGCACCAGGAUCUGUGCUGGGCACAGCAAGGGACCACCUGGCCUCGGGAGCUAAGGGCUCUGUCUCCAGGGGUCCCAGUCUGGAGAAGGUGGGUAAAGCAAACAAGGAAGCCUCCUAAUAAGAAGUUCCCUAAUCAGACAUGGACUUUGCUGCCAGGAGCACCCAGUGGGGCCAGCCUGGGGCCCAGGGAGGUAAGCAGAAGGGGCUCACUGUAGUAGUAGGUGAGACACAAACAGUUUCAUCCAUGGGUAGGAAAUAGAUGAGGGGGAGGGAGAGAGUUAGGAGAUGGUCAUGGAGAUUGCGGGUGCUAAGAAUGGCCUUGGUGGGUUUGGGGUCAUCCCUGCUCUGACACUGUACAGCACAGUCAGCUUGAACCAGUCCCUGACCUCUCUAAGGAUCAGUUUUCUCAUCCAUGCAAUGGGUUUAAUGAUAGUUCCUUUUGUGAUUGUUGUGAUACUUCAAUGAGAGAAUAAUGCAAAGUGCUUAGUGCAGCCCUCACUAAGCUCAGUAAGGAGGGUGACUGCAUCUGAGGGCAGUGGGAGCCACUGAGGGGGUUUCAGCCGGUGAGUGACGGGAGCAGAUUUUUUUUUCUUGAAUAAUUCCUGGAAAUGCUUUGAUCAUUUAGGCCAGCAGAGGCUCUUGGUUGAGCAUGAGACGCAUGAACCAUUAAGAUUGCAGGAUAUAAUCAUGUGCAAAUUUUAGACAAUACCUGAAAUCCUAAAAUGCAUUUCCUUUUUCCCAUCGCCAUAG
RNAcentral lists this long non-coding RNA (2942 nucleotides) under Homo sapiens (human). Its description in RNAcentral is "non-protein coding LINC01814:8". The record is from RNAcentral. Lineage: Eukaryota; Metazoa; Chordata; Mammalia; Primates; Hominidae.